Small nuclear RNA from Mustela erminea (ermine), 139 nucleotides. RefSeq annotates it as U4 spliceosomal RNA. NCBI's taxonomy places the organism in Eukaryota, Metazoa, Chordata, Mammalia, Carnivora, Mustelidae. The record is from RefSeq and is a predicted model, not a curated record. The transcript has a single exon.
AGCUUUGCGCAGUGGCAGUAUCGUAGCCAAUGAGGUUUAUCCGAGGCGCGAUUAUUGCUAAUUGAAGAUGACACAAACAAAUGGAAAAAUAGUCCAACUCAUGAAUUGGGAAAAUGAGUAUUGUUAAAAUGUACAUAUU